UGGGGAAUAUUGGACAAUGGGCGCAAGCCUGAUCCAGCAAUGCCGCGUGGGUGAAGACGGCCUGCGGGUUGUAAAGCCCUUUGGGUGGGGAAGAACGGUGGUUUGCGAACAGCGGACUGCUCUGACAUUACCCACGGAACAAGCACCGGCUAACUCCGUGCCAGCAGCCGCGGUAAUACGGAGGGUGCGAGCGUUAAUCGGAAUUACUGGGCGUAAAGCGUGCGUAGGCGGAAGGGUCAGUCAGCCGUGAAAGCCCCGGGCUCAACCUGGGAACGGCGGUUGAGACGGCCCGUCUGGAGUGGGCUAGAGGAUCGUGGAAUUCCGGGUGUAGCGGUGAAAUGCGUAGAGAUCCGGAGGAACACCGAUGGCGAAGGCAGCGAUCUGGGGCCACACUGACGCUGAGGCACGAAAGCGUGGGGAGCAAACAGG
Molecule: ribosomal RNA, 429 nt
Filed under: uncultured Gammaproteobacteria bacterium
Lineage: Bacteria; Pseudomonadati; Pseudomonadota; Gammaproteobacteria
Description: bacterial SSU rRNA
Rfam family: Bacterial small subunit ribosomal RNA
Source: RNAcentral